UAAAUUCGUAAUCGGCCGCUAGUCUCCCACGGUCCGAAAGCCUGUCUCUUCAAUGCCUCUGGCCCGAAAUAGGGGAGGGGAGGGUGAAAAAGUUAGCUUCAAGGUUCUCUUCUAAUCUUUCGGACUGCAAGGAAAGUUCUAUCUUUUCACUUUGUUUUCUUAAAAGAAAACCUCAUCUAAAAAUAGUUCUCGUCUAUUUCAGAGAAUAUCUCAAAAUCCUUUCUUCGACAUUUUUUUUGACGCAUUCUUGAGGUGCUGGAAUUAGGUCAUAUGUUCAGAAACCCCCUUCAACACUUUUUUUUUCCUGCAGAACCCGCGUUUGCUGACUGGUGUUAACCUUCACCUAGGCCCGUGAUGGGGAAGCUAAAGCCGCUGUAAAAGAGAAGGGGGAAGGGACGAGUAAGCAGGUAUUGAAAUCUUUAUGGAAUGCCAUGGUUAUAGAUUUCAGCAGAUGGUCUGUCUAAACAUGUGUUGGAAGGAUAGCGGUUGAGAAAGGUGUCAACAGAUCGCUUGAGGAGAGCGUUCCAAUAGCAGAGGAAUGGUCCAGUGGAUUCUCUUUGGUGAUUUGGAGGAUUUCAGUUUCCCGUUUAGGAUGCAAACAGUUACAUACAGAUCACGUUCUGCUAAAAAUUGGACCCUCGUAUAAUUGGACAAAGGAUCAUAAAAAUGAACAUUCUUGAAAGAUGGGUCCAGAAUUCUAAGUCACGUAACUGUACUUAUGGACAAAGCUAACUUGAAAGUACAAGAAAAACUACAGUGUUGUGUACGUGUCAAGUAUUAGAUUUUGGAAAGCUGUUGUAUCAUGAAAGCCUCUAUAACUAGAAGUGACUCGGGAAACUGAGAACAGAUGAAAUUAAUGUAUAUAAAAAAUCAUUAAAUUUUGUAUUGGUUGAA
This is a long non-coding RNA of Stegodyphus dumicola, 894 nucleotides long. RefSeq lists it as uncharacterized. The record is from RefSeq and is a predicted model, not a curated record. NCBI's taxonomy places the organism in Eukaryota, Metazoa, Arthropoda, Arachnida, Araneae, Eresidae.